Molecule: ribosomal RNA, 478 nt
Filed under: uncultured bacterium
Lineage: Bacteria
Description: bacterial SSU rRNA
Rfam family: Bacterial small subunit ribosomal RNA
Source: RNAcentral
CGGCGGCAUGCUUAACACAUGCAAGUCGAACGCGAACGCGCCUUCGGGUGUUAGUAGAGUGGCGGACGGGUGAGUAAUACUUGGGAAUCUGCCUAGUAGUGGGGGAUAACUCGGGGAAACUCGAGCUAAUACCGCAUACGCCCUACGGGGGAAAGAUUUAUCGCUAUUAGAUGAGCCCAAGUCAGAUUAGCUAGUUGGUAGGGUAAUGGCCUACCAAGGCAACGAUCUGUAGCUGGUCUGAGAGGACGAACAGCCACACUGGGACUGAGACACGGCCCAGACUCCUACGGGAGGCAGCAGUGGGGAAUAUUGGACAAUGGGCGAAAGCCUGAUCCAGCAAUGCCGCGUGUGUGAAGAAGGCCUGCGGGUUGUAAAGCACUUUCAGUGGGGAAGAGGGGUGUUGAGUUGAUAAGGCUCGAUGCUUGACGUUACCCACAGAAGAAGCACCGGCUAACUCCGUGCCAGCAGCCGCGGUAAU